CGCCUUCUUGCUUCUCCAGUAUAAGAGGUCCCGCCUGCCCAGUGACUAUAUGUUAAACGGCCGCGGUAUUCUGACCGUGCGAAGGUAGCGUAAUCACUUGUCUUUUAAAUGAGGACUUGUAUGAAUGGCAUCACGAAGACCUUACUGUCUCCUAUAUCCAAUCAGUGAAACUGAUCUCCCCGUGAAGAAGCGGGGAUUUCACCAUAAGACGAGAAGACCCCAUGGAGCUUUAAACUUAAACCACCCGCUUUACCAUCUCAACCUACGGGGAAACUAACUAAUCAAGCGGUACUGGCUUACGUUUUCGGUUGGGGCGACCACGGAGAAUAAUGAAUCCUCCAUGAUGAAAGAACACCUCUUAACCAAGAGCUACAGCUCUAAGUAUUAGAACUUCUAACCUUAAUUGAUCCAAUCUUAUUGAUCAACGAACCAAGUUACCCUGGGGAUAACAGCGCAAUCCAUUUCAAGAGUCCAUAUCGACAAAUGGGUUUACGACCUCGAUGUUGGAUCAGGGCAUCCUAGUGGUGCAGCCGCUACUAAAGGUUCGUUUGUUCCACGAUUAAAGCCCU
RNAcentral lists this ribosomal RNA (569 nucleotides) under Spea multiplicata (Mexican spadefoot toad). RNAcentral's name for it is "partial 16S ribosomal RNA". It matches the Rfam family "Bacterial large subunit ribosomal RNA", at positions 1816 to 2597 of the family's 2925-position model. Lineage: Eukaryota; Metazoa; Chordata; Amphibia; Anura; Pelobatidae. The record is from RNAcentral.